GUGUAUCUACUUAUUUGACCAGUCUUUAUUUUUAAAAUGGAGUCUAUCAUAAAUACUUAAAAAUGACUUUCCUUUUAAAUCUAUGCUAUGUUAUUUCUCAAAGCUUUUCCCCCAUACAGUUAAAUCUGUCAUUCUUUUUCCCCUUGUAAUUUCUUAUAUUACAGAAAAACCAAACCAUAGCUGGCUCUUUGUAUUUGCUGAGAAUAUAUUUUAGAGUGCCCACACAGCAAGAGAGUCUAUGAUUAUUUCACUAAACCACACCAAGCCUCAUAAGGAAAUGAGGAUGAAGAUGUGCUCUUGCUGUCAAGUGGCUUGCGUGCUCAAGUGAGUGAUGUGUCCCUUGCACAUAAGCUACCUGUGUUAUUCCAACUGUCAUGAGGAGGUAACAGGCAUCAAGAAAGGACCCGGGAAACAAUGUGGAAAGUCUUUAGGAGAAAAAAAAGGUCUUGCUCUGUUGCCCAGACUGGAGUGCACUGGUGAGAUCACAGCUCACUGCAGCCUUGUUCUCCCAGGCUCAGGUGAUCCUCUCACUUCAGCCUCACUUGGCUGAGUGUAGUCAGCUGGGACUACAGGUGCACACCACCACACUUGGCUAAGUUUUGUACUUUUUGUAGAGAUACGUUCCACUGUGUUGCCCAGGGUGGUCUCAAACUUCUGAGCUCAAGUGAUUCUCCUGCCUCAGCCUACCAAAGUGCUGGGGUUACAGCUCUGAGUCACCGCCGCAGCCUCUUUGCCUAAUUUUCCAUAAGGUUUUCAUUUUAUUGAUUUGAACUUGCUUGAGUGUGUUUGCAAUGGUUUUCAAUUAUGACCACACACUAGAAUCACCCAGGGAACUUUUAAACAACAGGCCCCACCCUGUGAAAUAUUGUGAUUCCAAUGGGCUGUGGUGAAGUCCAGGUGCUGAGUUUUAGACUUUCUGACUGAGGGAUUAAGAGUCCCUGGUCCAGGUGAUUUAGAUCGCAGUGGGUGAUCAGGUAGGAUAGAACACAGGGUCCUAGGGAAUAAAUAAGUCAAGGAGCUAAGAGGCCAGGGUGUUGGAAGAAUUGUGUAUAUGGUUGUAUCAGUCUCCUUGUGCUGCCAUAAGAAAAUACCACAGGUGGAGAGGCUUAAACAACAAAAUUAAUACCCUACGGUGUUGAAAGCUAGAAAGUCCAAGAUCAAAGUCUGGUCGUUUUCCUAGCUUGUAGCCAGACACUUCUGACUGUUUUUUCAAAUGGCAGAGAAAGAGGGUGCUCUGUCCUCUCUUCGUUUUCUUCUAAGGACACUAAUUCCAUCUUUGGGGUCCUACCCUCAUGACCUCAUCUAAACCUCAUUACCUCCCCACAGUCCCACCUGCAAAUACACAUUGGUGAUUAGGGCUUUAGCAUAAUACAUUUUAAGGGGACACACACUUUCAGUCCAUAACAGUGGGAUCCAUUAUUUCAUUACUCAUGUUGUACUAUCUUUUUGUCUUGAGACUUGUUGGUUUUGCUAUGUUAAUCUUUCUGCGAUUGUGCUUGGUUCUGACCUCUCUUCUGUAUAUUCUCCCCAUUUUCAUUUGCUCCUUUUCACAGUCACAUCAAAGUCACAGAUUCAGAGGGUAGCCCAUUUGUAGGAUCUCAUUCAUCAGUGUUUACCCCCAAAUUUGGGGUAGAAAGCCA
RNAcentral lists this long non-coding RNA (1640 nucleotides) under Callithrix jacchus (white-tufted-ear marmoset). RNAcentral's name for it is "lncRNA (ENSCJAG00000073717.1)". The record is from RNAcentral. Lineage: Eukaryota; Metazoa; Chordata; Mammalia; Primates; Cebidae.